This 231-nucleotide unclassified non-coding RNA is filed under the name uncultured fungus. RNAcentral's name for it is "sequence contains ITS1". The record is from RNAcentral. Lineage: Eukaryota; Fungi.
UUAACAUUUGUUAUAAACAGGUUCAGACAGAUGACAUGAAAUUGCAAGGGUUUGAUGUAUACCUUUCGCGAGUGCUCCCCGUCGGAUUUGGCUUUCGCCAUCGUCCGGGGGUGACCGGGAUCACUGCCUCGCGGAAGCAACAGGUAACGUACGCAGAUGGGUUUGAAAAUGUAUAUUCGAGAGAAUACAGAUUUACUUUUAAUGAUCCUUCCGCAGGUUCACCUACGGAAA